AUGCCUGUGAUGAAAUCAGUUAUCAAAACACCAUCUUUCGGGACUGAAUGGCUCUUCAAAAGCCUUGCUGAUAUUCUGCAAUUCUGAGGCUA
Small nucleolar RNA from Vitis vinifera (wine grape), 92 nucleotides. It matches the Rfam family "Small nucleolar RNA SNORD96 family". From Rfam's summary of the family: snoRNA Z37 is a member of the C/D class of snoRNA which contain the C (UGAUGA) and D (CUGA) box motifs. Z37 acts as a methylation guide for 5.8S ribosomal RNA. The record is from Rfam. Lineage: Eukaryota; Viridiplantae; Streptophyta; Magnoliopsida; Vitales; Vitaceae.